UACGGGAGGCAGCAGUGGGGAAUAUUGCACAAUGGGCGCAAGCCUGAUGCAGCCAUGCCGCGUGUAUGAAGAAGGCCUUCGGGUUGUAAAGUACUUUCAGUCGUGAGGAAGGUGUUAAGGUUAAUAACCUUAGCAAUUGACGUUAGCGACAGAAGAAGCACCGGCUAACUCCGUGCCAGCAGCCGCGGUAAUACGGAGGGUGCGAGCGUUAAUCGGAAUUACUGGGCGUAAAGGGCACGCAGGCGGUUAAUUAAGUUGGAUGUGAAAUCCCCGGGCUUAACCUGGGAAUGGCAUUCAAGCUGGUUAGCUAGAGUCUUGUAGAGGGGGUAGAAUUCCAUGUGUAGCGGUGAAAUGCGUAGAGAUGUGGAGGAAUACCGGUGGCGAAGGCGGCCCCUGGACAAAGGACUGACGCUCAUGUGCGAAAGCGUGGGGAGCAAACAGGGAUUAGAUA
Molecule: ribosomal RNA, 451 nt
Filed under: uncultured bacterium
Lineage: Bacteria
Description: bacterial SSU rRNA
Rfam family: Bacterial small subunit ribosomal RNA
Source: RNAcentral